UAAAGGUCCAUACCCUGUCAGGACGCUUGUAGCAGAAUGUUGUUACUGUGGUCGGCAUUUCUGCUCGGCUUGAGCAGGUUCAGCUAUGCAGACGUUUCUCCUCCACAGUAUAAUAUUAUUGGAUCAGCCGCCAGAAGAGAGAUAGUUAACACUGACUAUGCAUUUUGAUGGAACGUUAUGAGGGAAGCUGUAGCUCAGGUAAUAGACCCUAUGAUGGAGAGAUCCGUGGAGUGGUCACAGGCUUCAGACUGAGCAUUGGGGACGUUGUUCUCUUGAAUUUCGCCUACGAGAUGACAGCGUUCUGCACCAGUGUUGUUACUCAGGAUAUUAAAGGAAACAUUUACCAUGGCAGGAACCUGGAUUACCAACAUGAUGAUAUUCUGUGAAAUAUUGCAGUUGAUUUUGAGUUUGUAAAAAAUGGACAGGUACCUUGCGGCCCAAUGACAUGAUCCCACAGCCUGGCCAAACCCGAAUUGUUCCAUCUCAAAGGUUGGUCUUCUUGGUUCAGCUGGCAGUAAUUGGUGACAAAAAUAUUUUUUAGUAUCAUUUAGAAGAAGUGCAGACAGGGUGGCCACGUGUAAUGUUUGUGACUGCUGCUGUAGAAAGUACAGUGGAGGUGUGGCAUUUCUAGACAAAUGGUGCAGCAGUUAAUUCAGCUGCACAGGCUAUUACCCAUAGUGGUAUUGUUAGAAUCUUAUUGCUCGCCAUGUGUUGCCUCUACCUGUAAGAUAUACAAAGCUGUAUUAUGCAGUGGCCAACAGAAGAACUCGCACCAAGCCACAUUAUAUAUAAUCAUCUCUGAAUUAAAUGUGUAAAUUGGAAACUAAUGGUGACCACAUGGUACAGUUCAAGGGAUAAUGUUCAUAGAUAGCAGCUGUUUGUUUUUGUUUGUUAAGAACUCCUAACAUCCCGCUAGCUUUGUAUUACUAGUCAGAUCUUGUUGUUUGAAAAUGUACUGUAUAGAAGUGUGUCUGGUCUGGCUCAUGCAGUGGGUUAUUGCACUGGGCUGAAGCUCGCCCCUAUCGCUGCUGUAUAACUACAGAGAGCUUUAAUCUAUUGUUGCCAAUCCAGAAGCUUUCAUGAGCACCACAUGUGAUCACAUCAUUUGAAUAGAAAAUAAUACUGAUGAUAUAUACACAACUUUCUUUGUCAUUGUGUAUUUCAUAGAACUCCUGCAAUCAAGGCACUCAAUGCUACUGGGCAAGAGAAUAUCAAUUUGGAUACUCUUUUCAAAGUAUUGUCUGUGAAGCCAACCCUCAACAGUAUCACCAUUUAUACAACUGUCAUGAGUGCAGCUUUCCCAGAAAUGUACUGGACAGAAGUUAGAAAGAAAACAGUGUGUUUUUUAGAUUUGCUGUUUUAAAAAAAGAACAAAAAGGUAUGUAUUUAAAAAAAAAAAAUCUGUGAAUGACCCAAGUAACAAAUCCUACUCAGAGGUUACAAGCUCAGCCCCAGUAUAUCAAAUCUCUUCUCUCUAUUCCCUACUUCACCUUGCAGUCAGACCACAGACUCAAUCACACGUGGAAUUACUCAUCUGCUAAAUCACACUUAAAGAUUCAAAAUCAUUUGAAGAACAAAAUACUAUAUAAAAAAAAAAAACUUUAAAAUGCCAAAUCAUACAUUUACAUCUUUGCCUACCUUCUCCCCUGUUUACAAAGAGAGAAUGCAAGCUCAGUAAAGCUAAUUUUGGUGACAUACUGUAUAAACCAUUGCACAGUAUCUGCUUUUCACCAAUCAAAGCAGUUUGACAUGUGGAGGUGUGUUUGAUAUGUUUGAUGUUAUUUGAUAUUGCUGUUGUGCAGCAGUCCUAAGGCAAAGUCGGUGAAGUCGUUUGUGUUUAUUAACUGAAGGAGGCCCUUGCAUGUUCUUAUUAUCUUACAGUUGUUGCAAAAGUAAAUGUUUACAAUUAAAGGAAUAAACUUCAAAUAUCCAAAA
Molecule: long non-coding RNA, 1935 nt
Organism: Polyodon spathula (Mississippi paddlefish)
Lineage: Eukaryota; Metazoa; Chordata; Actinopteri; Acipenseriformes; Polyodontidae
Exons: 5
Source: RefSeq, a predicted model, not a curated record